CCUUCGGGACAGAGGAGACAGGUGGUGCAUGGUUGUCGUCAGCUCGUGUCGUGAGAUGUUGGGUUAAGUCCGCAACGAGCGCAACCCUUGAAUUUAGUUGCCAGCACUUCGGGUGGGCACUCUAGAUUGACUGCCGGUGACAAACCGGAGGAAGGCGGGGAUGACGUCAAAUCAUCAUGCCCCUUAUGACCUGGGCUACACACGUACUACAAUGGCCGGUACAACGGGCAGUGAAGGAGCGAUCCGGAACGAAUCCUUAAAAGCCGGUCUCAGUUCGGAUUGCAGGCUGCAACUCGCCUGCAUGAAGUCGGAAUUGCUAGUAAUCGCGGAUCAGCAUGCCGCGGUGAAUACGUUCCCGGGUCUUGUACACACCGCCCGUCACACCACGAGAGUUUACAACACCCGAAGUCGGUAGGGUAACCCGCAAGGGAGCCAGCCGCCCACGGUGGGGUAGAUGAUUGGGGUGAAGUCGUAACAAGGUAGGCGUAGUGCU
Molecule: ribosomal RNA, 493 nt
Filed under: uncultured bacterium
Lineage: Bacteria
Description: bacterial SSU rRNA
Rfam family: Bacterial small subunit ribosomal RNA
Source: RNAcentral